RNAcentral lists this ribosomal RNA (2847 nucleotides) under Triticum aestivum (bread wheat). RNAcentral's name for it is "partial small subunit ribosomal RNA". Lineage: Eukaryota; Viridiplantae; Streptophyta; Magnoliopsida; Poales; Poaceae. The record is from RNAcentral.
AUGUUCAUGAUUAAAUCCAAUGCUUAUACUAUACCUCCUACUUCCAUUCUACAUUUUUGUAGCAAUGUAGAUGUCGACCGUAGUUGGAUGUACAAAGAGAGACGAGGGAAGUUGAUCAGUGAUGCUUGGCAACAUGGAGUAGAUAAUUUCCUAGAUCAUGCAUUCUCAUUGCCCGAUGCUGCUGUAGAUGGGAAAUCCCAUUGUCCUUGCAGCAAGUGCUUUUGCGGUCAUAAGUGGACAAGGGAUGUCAUGACCACACACUUGUGCAGCAAUGGGUUCAUGUUAGGAUAUGAGAGAUGGACUAGCCACGGGGAGUCUGAUGCACCUGAAAAUGUAGAGCAUGAUAACGUGGGGGAUGGAGAUAGAAUGAAUGACAUGCUAGUUGAUGCAAUUGUUGCUGAAGGAGUUUCUAAAGGUGAUGAGCCAACAAAAUCUGCCAAAAAAUUCUAUGAAAUGUUGAUGGAAGCCGACAAACGUUUGCAUGAGAAGACCACACAAUCACGUCUAUCCAUUGUAGGAAGGCUAAUGACUAUUAAAACACAACAUAAUCUGUCAGAAGCUUGUUACAAUGAGAUGAUGACUCUUAUACAUGACAUUGUUGGGGACGAUGCUGCAAAAGAUCUCCCAGCAAACUUCCAUAGGUCCAAGAAGCUUGUGCAUAGUCUAGCAAUGCCUUACGUCAAAAUUCAUGCAUGCCCCAAUAAUUGUAUGAUUUAUUAUAAGGAGAAUGAAAAUAAAGAAAAAUGCACUAUCUGCAAAGAACCUAGAUAUGAGGAAACAACCGCAGGAAAUAAAUCUACGAAGAUACCAAGAAAAGUUCUGCGCUAUCUCCCAAUUACUCCUAGGCUACAACGGUUGUACAUGUCACAAAGCACUGCCAAGCACAUGGACUAUCACGCAAGGCCUCAUAACAGUGAUGAAGUAAUGGUUCACCCUUCUCAUGGUGAAGCUUGGAAGGAAUUUAAUAAGGAAUUUAAAAAAUUUGCUGAGGAAGUAAGGAAUAUAAGGCUAUGUCUAGCGACUGACGGCUUCACACCUUUUGGAAUUAAAGCAGCCUCCUACUCAUGUUGGCCAGUAUUUGUUGUACCUUAUAAUCUUCCACCAGAAAUGUGCAUGAAGCAGAGUAACCUGAUCCUUGCACUAGUUAUUCCCGGUCCAGAUCAUCCAGGAAAGAACCUAAACGUUUUUAUGCAGCCUCUAGUUGACGAACUUGAUGAUUUGUGGAGAAAUGGUGUAGAAACUUAUGAUAGUUAUCGAAAGCAAAAUUUCACCUUGAAGGCAGCUUUGCUUUGGACUAUUCAUGACUUUCCAGCUUAUGGAUUAGUAGCAUGCUGGAGCACUCAUGGAAAGCUUGCUUGCCCUAUAUGUGGAUCUGACAUAAAGACAUUCUCAUUGAAGAAUGGAAGAAAGCGAUGCUGGUUUGACUGCCAUAGGAGAUUCCUUCCCACUAACCAUGCAUUUCGUAGGAGUGUGAAAUGUUUUCGCAAGAAAAAAACAGUUUUAGAUCCUCCACCAAAGCCCUUGUCCGGAGAAGAGGUGUAUGAAGAACUCCAAAGUCUUGUCCAUGAUGAAACUGGCAAGAGUAAAUUUGAGGGGUUUGGGAAGGAGCACAAUUGGAUAGCUAUAAGUGGUUUGUGGCAGCGAGAGUAUUUUCGGAAGUUGCUGCUUCGCCAUAACAUUGAUGUAAUGCACAAUGAGAAAAAUGUAUCUGAGGCUUUACUAAACACAUGCCUUGAUAUUCCUGAGAAAACUAAGGAUAACAACAAAGCACGCCUUGAUGUUGCUUUGUAUUGUGAUCGACCAAAGCUACACCUGAACAAGAAUUCAAGGGGUGUGUCGAAGAAACCUAGAGCGAAAUAUUGUGUCAGCAAGGAAGAUAGAAUGACCAUCCUUAAGUGGUUUAAAGAAGUGAAGUUUUCUGAUGGGUUUGCUGCUAAUUUGAGUAAAACUGUCAACUUGAGUAAAAACAAAUUCAUUGGGCUAAAAAGCCAUGACCACCACAUCAUCAUGGAGCGCCUCCUGCCAGUUGCCCUACGAGGCUUCAUCCCAGAACCUGAAUGGAAGGUCAUAGCAGAGUUAAGUUUUUUUUAUCGGCAAUUGUGUGCCAAAGAAAUUGCUCCAAAACGGAUGCGUGAACUUGAGGAGGAGGUUCCUGUUCUAUUAUGCAAGCUUGAGAAAAUGUUCCCACCAGGCUUCUUCAAUGUAAUGCAACACCUGAUAGUGCAUCUUCCAUAUGAGGCAAGGGUUGGCGGCCCUGUGGCAUAUCGUUGGAUGUAUGUUUUUGAGAGGGCAAUGCACUAUCUUCGUUUAAAAGUGAGAAACAAGGCAAGAGUGGAGGGUUCAAUCGUUGAAGCUUGUAUUGUGCAGGAGAUCACGAAUUGUGUUUCUCUUUACUUUAGUGAUCACGUUCGCACUAUAUGGAAGAAGAAUCCUCGAUAUAAUAAUGGAGGAACACGCAUGCAGAAUGAUGGCUGCACCUUAGAUGUGUUUCAGCAUGUAGGAAACCUACAUGGGAGGCCUAUUGCCCGAGAACUAUCGCGUGAUGAGUUGAAUGCAGCAAGGCUGUACAUUUUGACUAACUGCUCUGCUGUUGAUAGAUUUCGUGAAACAUUUGAAGAUGAAAAAUAUGCAAGUCAUCCAAACUUGACAUCAGAGGGCCUUGAUGAAAUGAUGGCAUCCGAAUUUGUGGAAUGGUUCGAGAUUGCUUGCAAAGAAGAUCCUAAUUCUGAUGAGGACUUGUGGAAUUUAGCUAAUGGAUGCAGCUCUAGAGCCUAUUCCUAUAGCUCCUAUGAUGUGAAUGGCUUUCGCUUUAGAUCAGAGAUAUCUGAGAAAAAAGUAGAAGGUUGA